This is a long non-coding RNA of Cynoglossus semilaevis (tongue sole), 1330 nucleotides long. RefSeq lists it as uncharacterized. NCBI's taxonomy places the organism in Eukaryota, Metazoa, Chordata, Actinopteri, Pleuronectiformes, Cynoglossidae. The transcript is spliced from 5 exons. The record is from RefSeq and is a predicted model, not a curated record.
UCUGGACACAUGAAGAGAGUUUUAAACUACUAUAAACUACACACAUAAGAGCAUCACCAAGUGGUGGAUGAAGUGAUAAGGGUAAGAGGUUCUGAACUCCAGGUCCAUGGGCUGAUUUUGGCCCGCUACAUCUGGCCUGUGACUAGACAUAAAUUUUGACCUUGAGUUAAUUUUUUUCUUCCUCAGCUCAAUUGGGUUUGAGACCCCUGUUGUAAGGCAAGUGAACGUACCACUUCAUCCACCGCCCCAAGUGGUGGGUGAGCCACAUUUUUUCUAUUUAUUUUAUCAGAAAGUAAAUAUUUAAUGUGUAGUGUAAAAUUACAAUCUCCCACAAAUAUUCUUUAACAUUUCAUCAUCAAGUUACCAAAUAAUAAUAAAAAAAGGUCAAGCGCACAGACUGAUCAAUAAUAAAAAUAAUCAAUACUUGUAGUUUUACGCUGCACCACACUGACGGCAGAAUUAUACCUGUGUCCUUUUAUGAUAUACAAUUUCUUCUCCCUCAGGAGAAUAACACCAUUAACGGUGAAUAAUUCAGCAGGUUUUCAGGGACGUCAGGGAGUCUGAUAUCCAAAAUGUGCUGUAUCUGGUGAUGCAAACUGACCAGCUCAGCUCUUCUGAACACAAACCCAGUGAUGCUCUGACAGCUUCUGUCUGCUCUCAUAACGCCGACCCCCUGACCCCGAGGCAGAGCCGACAGAAGUGUCUCAUCACGGCCACAACCUCGUCCUCAAUGAGGAGUUUCCUUGCCACGUCCUCCACGUGCUGCAGCGUCUCAGGUCGGGGCUGGGGGCUCCUGUCUUUAACCCCGGCACGGGAUUCCUUAGGGGAGGUCAAGAGAUGAAAAGGACGGCUCCGCUCCUUACCUGAGGGGCAUCACACCCAGGCAGUAGUCGUCUGAUGUGGUGAAGAGAUGCACAAUCCUGCGGAGGGCGCUGUCUGUGCUGGCUUCUGAUGGUGUGUGUCCAUUCUCCUCCACCACCAUGCGCCGGUGAAUCAGCCUUACCAUGUGGUCUUCUCCUUGGAGUAGCGGAUGCCCGGGAUCUUGCCGACCCUUCUCACCACCAUCUUCAGCCUGUUGUUUCCUGUCAGGACCUUCACAGCGCUGCUCAUGGUGAUGCUCUCCAGACUGACGCCGUUCACCUCCACCAGCUUAUCGCCUACACUCAGACCAGCCAGCGCUGUGGACACGAGAGCUGUCGUCGUCGACCUUGCUGACAAAUAUGCCCAGUCCAUGUUCAGACCCUCCGCGGACACUGAAACCCAGACGCCCGUCAGGACUCUUAUCUACUGUCACCGUGUGAAUGUCUUCACUCUCAUCGCCACCUGAACA